GAUGAAGAACGCAGCUAAAUGCGAUAAGUAAUGUGAAUUGCAGAAUUCAGUGAAUCAUCGAAUCUUUGAACGCACAUUGCGCCCGCCAGUAUUCUGGCGGGCAUGCCUGUUCGAGCGUCAUUUCAACCAUCAAGCCCCCGGCUUGUGUUGGGGACCUGCGGCUGCCGCAGGCCCUGAAAAGCAGUGGCGGGCUCGCUGUCACACCGAGCGUAGUAGCAUACAUCUCGCUCUGGGCGUGCUGCGGGUUCCGGCCGUUAAACCACCUUCAUAACCCAAGGUUGACCUCGGAUCAGGUAGGAAGACCCGCUGAACUUAAGCAUAUCAAUAAGCGGAGGA
This 336-nucleotide unclassified non-coding RNA is filed under the name soil metagenome. RNAcentral describes it as "partial contains 5.8S ribosomal RNA, internal transcribed spacer 2, and large subunit ribosomal RNA". The stretch from base 1 to 120 matches the Rfam family "5.8S ribosomal RNA", at positions 35 to 154 of the family's 154-position model. The record is from RNAcentral.